UGGUGCUGGUUUCGGCUCUCACUUACAGAUGGGCCCGCGGCGCAUUAGCUAGUUGGUGAGGAAUCGGCUCACCAAGGCGACGAUGCGUAGCCGACCUGAGAGGGUGAUCGGCCACACUGGGACUGAGACACGGCCCAGACUCCUACGGGAGGCAGCAGUAGGGAAGCCUCCGCAAUGGACGAAAGUCUGACGGAGCAACGCCGCGUGAGUGAUGAAGGUUUUCGGAGCGUAAAAC
This 235-nucleotide ribosomal RNA is filed under the name Halalkalibacterium halodurans. RNAcentral describes it as "Bacillus halodurans partial 16S ribosomal RNA". It matches the Rfam family "Bacterial small subunit ribosomal RNA", at positions 202 to 431 of the family's 1533-position model. Lineage: Bacteria; Bacillati; Bacillota; Bacilli; Caryophanales; Bacillaceae. The record is from RNAcentral.